RNAcentral lists this ribosomal RNA (248 nucleotides) under uncultured bacterium. RNAcentral's name for it is "partial 16S ribosomal RNA". It matches the Rfam family "Bacterial small subunit ribosomal RNA", at positions 523 to 769 of the family's 1533-position model. The record is from RNAcentral.
ACACGUAGGAGGCAAACGUUAUCCGGAUUUACUGGGCGUAAAGCGCGUGUAGGUGGUUUGGUAAGUAGGGCGUGAAAGCUCCUGGGCUCAACUGGGAGAGGACGUUCUAAACUGCCAAGCUUGAGGAUGGUAGAGGGAGGUGGAAUUCCGGGUGUAGCGGUGGAAUGCGCAGAUAUCCGGAGGAACACCAGUGGCGAAGGCGGCCUCCUGGACCACUCCUGACACUCAGACGCGAAAGCUAGGGUAGC